CCCUUAGAUGUUCUGGGCUGCACGCGCGCUACACUGAAGGGAUCAGCGUGUUCUUUUCCUGGUCCGAAAGGAUCGGGUAACCCGCUGAACCCCCUUCGUGGUAGGGAUCGGAGCUUGCAAUUAUUCUCCGUGAACCAGGAAUUCCCAGUAAGCGCAAGUCAUAAGCUUGCGUUGAUUACGUCCCUGCCCUUUGUACACACCGCCCGUCGCUACUACCGAUUGGACGUUUUAGUGAGGAUUUUGGACUGAGCCAAUGGUGGUUCACACCACUGUUGUGCAUGGAAAGAUCUCCAAACUUGAGCGUUUAGAGGAAGUAAAAGUCGUAACA
RNAcentral lists this ribosomal RNA (328 nucleotides) under uncultured eukaryote. RNAcentral describes it as "partial 18S ribosomal RNA". It matches the Rfam family "Eukaryotic small subunit ribosomal RNA", at positions 1470 to 1796 of the family's 1831-position model. The record is from RNAcentral.